RNAcentral lists this ribosomal RNA (253 nucleotides) under uncultured bacterium. RNAcentral describes it as "partial 16S ribosomal RNA". It matches the Rfam family "Bacterial small subunit ribosomal RNA", at positions 524 to 776 of the family's 1533-position model. The record is from RNAcentral.
UACGUAGGGUGCGAGCGUUGUCCGGAAUUAUUGGGCGUAAAGAGCUCGUAGGCGGCUUGUCGCGUCGGAUGUGAAAGCCCGGGGCUUAACUCCGGGUCUGCAUUCGAUACGGGCAGGCUAGAGUUCGGUAGGGGAGAUUGGAAUUCCUGGUGUAGCGGUGAAAUGCGCAGAUAUCAGGAGGAACACCGGUGGCGAAGGCGGAUCUCUGGGCCGAUACUGACGCUGAGGAGCGAAAGCGUGGGGAGCGAACAGG